This 345-nucleotide ribosomal RNA is filed under the name Clostridioides difficile. RNAcentral's name for it is "partial 23S ribosomal RNA". It matches the Rfam family "Bacterial large subunit ribosomal RNA", at positions 929 to 1280 of the family's 2925-position model. The record is from RNAcentral. Lineage: Bacteria; Bacillati; Bacillota; Clostridia; Peptostreptococcales; Peptostreptococcaceae.
AUUGCACCUACCGAAGACUAUCAAACUCCGAAUGCCGUCAUCUUAUACUUGGGAGUCAGACUGUGGGGGAUAAGAUUCAUAGUCGAAAGGGCAACAGCCCAGAUCGUCAGCUAAGGUCCCUAAAUGUAAGUUAAGUGGUAAAGGAUGUGGGAUUGCACAGACAACCAGGAUGUUGGCUUAGAAGCAGCCACUCAUUCAAAGAGUGCGUAAUAGCUCACUGGUCGAGUGAUCCUGCGCCGAAGAUUUCCGGGGCUAAAACUUACUACCGAAGCUACGGCAUCAGUAAUGAUGGGUAGGGGAGCUUCCCAUACGGGUUGAAGCAUGACCGUAAGGACAUGUGGACAG